GCAUGCUAGCAAUACAGAAGAGAGAGAAGAUGCGCCUGUUUUAAUAAAAUCAGGAUGUAAACUGUAAAGGUCUACAAGCCACACCUAUGAAGUCAUGUGUUGUAAGUCAGAGUCAUGCUUCCCUGAUCGUCACAUCGAGUUAUUAGAUACGCCAGUCCUCCAUUUCCUGACUGAUCAGUGAAACACUAGUUAUUUCCAUCACUUCCAUGUGAAGUUUUCUGAGUUUCUGACAUAAAACCUGGUUAUCACCGUCAUCACCUGAUGAAGCUGUUGAUCUCAGCAGCUUCCAGCUACAUGGCAGUGAUCGCGAUCCACUCCUCUUAGUCCUAGAUCCGGAAGCAGCGUCGAAGAUCGGGGGCGUGGCCAGGUCCGGGAGACGGAGUCGAAGGGAGCAACAGGCGACGAGCUGGAUCUGCAGAGCAACCCCUCCCCUGAACCUUACGGCACGUAACACUGGUAGCAGGAGCACGACGGUGGUAUUAUGGGGCAAUGAGACGGUGCUGCUUGGCUUCCUCAGCAGGAGAUACCGCUGCACCUGAGGUCCCUGCUACCCCUUCCCCUGACGUGGCGCCCACACCCAAGCCUGUAGUUCCUGUCCCAGAAGUUCCUGCUCUGGUGGUUCCUGGUCUGGCCCCCCAGGUUCCUGACCCUCUGGCUCCAAUCCACCCGGUUCCUGCUCCUGUGCCCCCCCAUCCCCGAGGAGGUCCCUGAUCCCCUGGACCCUGCUCCCGUGCCCCUGGCUCCCAUGACCACAAGGAACUUCUC
Molecule: long non-coding RNA, 765 nt
Organism: Brienomyrus brachyistius
Lineage: Eukaryota; Metazoa; Chordata; Actinopteri; Osteoglossiformes; Mormyridae
Exons: 3
Source: RefSeq, a predicted model, not a curated record